CUCCAAGAUACAGAGCAUGAAACAGAGAAUUUGCAAUAGGUACAGAGAACAGGGUAUUUUUCUACUUCUAUCGAUUUUAACUCAUGUCCACACGAGUGGGGUUCUUAAAUAUUAAAAAGGGUUGGUUAAGCCUGGAAGGAGUUGGCAUUCAAAAAGCUGAUUCCCACAGUUUUGAGAACGAUAGAAAUGAUUCUCACAGUAAAAUCGUUCCAUCAGUGAAAUAACACUUUCUUUUGAAGGGUAUCCUGUUACACGUUUGAACUGUCCUGUUUGUUACCGCCAUAAUUGGAAUUUACAAGUCAUAGAUAGAAAAUGGCGGCAGUGACACCAAUCUACUAUUACCCUGCCACUUAAAUUGUUGACAUCUCGUUCAAGGUUAGGUUAGUCCCGUGGUGUUUACAUAAAUGAAUUUUAUUGUGUUUAUGAGCAUUUGGGCUGAUGGGUGUAUCCCUUGACUGUUUUCUACAUGAAAUGUAAACAGACUACUAGACAAGAUGCAUAAAUUCAAACUUUCAAUCACAGUCUACUUAUGUCAAACCGUACACACAAGACAAGACAGCCUCUGCAGUAAGAAAACAUGGUGACCUCAAUAUCAACAUUUCAACUUCAACUCAGCUGUUGCACGUUGUUCAUGCUAAGGAGAACGAAGGAUGGAGAAAGAACACUACUCAUUGAGGAGACUCUCAGUACCGUUAUAGUGCGCUGUCUGAUUCAAAUGAUCGUUGAAGGUAGUCUCCCCCGGUCAGAGCGGUCUUCGGUUUACGUCGCGCAGCAUGACGGGAGGGGAAGUGCAAGUGGACUCCCGUGCUCCAAAGCGCUGCCCCGCGGAAACGGACCCCGCUGCGCCAACUUUGAAAAGUCAUAA
This 865-nucleotide long non-coding RNA is filed under the name Bemisia tabaci. RNAcentral's name for it is "lncRNA ENSSSA1NGG008220". Lineage: Eukaryota; Metazoa; Arthropoda; Insecta; Hemiptera; Aleyrodidae. The record is from RNAcentral.